CUGUCUGUAGAAAACCUUUUGUAUCUGAAAACACGACUCCAAAGAAUCAAAGCCCCAGAAAUUACUAGCACCAUGAUUGCAAAACCAAUCAGUGAAAGCCCUAUAAUUAAAAUAUCCGUAUGAACUUUCCCAUUCCCAUCUUUAGGUUCAUCAGCAUGUUUUCUUGGUUCAUUAAUGGAUGAAUAUAUACCUACCUUGAUCAAAGCGAUGUUUGAAUUGCUAAGGUUCCUUCUCCCAUAUCUCAAAGGAAGCCUUUGCUUCGUGCAGUUUCCAUCAUUAAACAUGGCAGCCUCACAGUUGCAAUCCUCAUAGCAUGCUGUCUCACAUUCUUCUCUGGUUGUUGAAGUCACCUCAGAAUAUCCAGUAUCUUCCCAUACAGUGUUUUCAGCUGCCUGAAUGGUAUACUGGAUUUUCCCAUCAUCGUUUUUACAGCUGUCGCUGGAGAAACUCCUCUCGCAGCCAGCAGUGAAAUUUCCUUCUAUAACUGGAGCAAAUCCUGGAAGACAUCUACAAUUAGCUUCUCUAUCUACAUCAACGCAAUAACCAUUAAGCCCACAUAGACCCUUGGGUGCACACUUGUCUGACGUAGAUGACCAUAUAACUGAUCGAUUGCCGUUCCGAUCGAAUCUGUAAGAAUAGAGUCGAAAGAUGCCAUCGGAAUCAAUUUUUAUCAGAUAAAUUGUUCUAUUUGUAUCAUCAUACCCUCCUGUGGUUAGAUCCUUUAUGUUGAAGCCUGUUGAAUUGAGCAUGUACAAAUGACCAUCAUUGUCGAGAUUCAGGCUCACGUUAUCUCCCUUACCAUCUGUAAAGGAUGACCAAUAAGAAUAAGGUGCUGUGUCAGGAGUGUCCACAGGGUACUGUACCAAGUUUCCAUCAUGCUGCAUCUUAAGACGAAAUAUACCAGUUGACUGGUCAGUUUCCGAGACACUAGAGAACAGCUCCAUCCCUUCUGAGAGACGCUGUCCUUGUAGAAUGCUAGUGGUUGGAUAUUGGAAGCUCUGCCAUAUAAUGUCCUCGCCAGAGUUGAAUACAACGAAAUUGCCCGUAUCAAGCACCGAAGCUGCAGCAAUUUUCUGAGAAGCAUUUGUGACGAUGUAUACGUCUCGUCUUGGCAGUGACUGAAGAAUAAGCCUUCCAUCGGUUGUAAGAACUAAGCUAGCAGUGCUUGGAACAGGAGGAGCAUCUCGGUUGGCUGUCCAAACCACUGUCCUUUGAGGAACUCCAGCAAGGAAAACCCCAACACCAUAGCCCUUACUUUGGGGAUAAAACCCAAAGCCAUAGAGACCAGAAGGGGAUAGCCAUGCGGAUUUGCCGGUGGUAGUGGGUGUCAAAGAUGAGCCCAAACGUAUAGUGGAGUUCCAUGGUUGAGCUACUGCAUGGAAAUGAAAGGAAAAGAAGCACACAAGGAAAAUAAAUGAGAUGGCGACCAUGGCUGAGGCCUAAAUGGUAUAAUAUCCCUUUAGAUUACAGGGCAUAUCGUUUUAUAUAUAUGGUUUAACAAGGUUUGAUUGUUAAUACAUUGAAUGAAAUUUCCCAUCUUACUUUUUUGAUAGGAUAGUUAUCACGGUUUUUUACAAAAAUAAUACAAAAAAAUAAAAAAAAAAUCAAAAUAAUACAAGUAUUUUAUUAUGUACCAAAAUGAUACAAACAGGAGUAGAGGGACUGCUAGCACCGCCCCCUUAUAUUAAUUUAGUGUGUUUUUUUAUAAAUUUAGUAAAAAACCUUUAUUUUAGUUAUCUGUUCGUAUUUUUUUUAUUUUCAGAUUAUUUUAUUUUAUAUUAUUUUAGUACAUAAUAUUUGAAAUGUAUUAUUUUAGUGUUUUUUAUAUAAAUUUAGUGAAACCCUUAUUUUGUCCUUUUGUUCGUAUUUUUCUCUUUUUUUUUUUAGAUUUUAUUACUUUCAGUAAAUAUACUAUUUUCAUUUUUUAUUUCUUUUCGUAUUUUAUUUUUUCAUAAACAUAUUUUUUCGGUAUUUUAUUUUUAAUACUAUUUUUGUAAAAAAAUCUCAUUACAACAUGCUAAAUAAAUUUCAUAAAAAAUAUAUCUAAUCAACAUAAAACACACUUAACAAAUAAAUUAAAUUAAAUAAUAAAACAUAGAAUGUACAUAACAUAAAUAAUAAAACAUAGAAUGUACAUAAGACAAAAAGUAAAUUUAAAACCAAUCACAUUAUAAUAAUAACAACAAAAAUAAAAUACGAAAAGACAUAAAAAAUGAAAAUAGUAUAUUUACUGAAAGUAAUAAAAACUGAAAAAAAAGAGAGAAAAAUACGAACAAAGGGCCAAAAUAAGGGUUUUUCACUAAAUUUAUAUAAAAACACACACUAAAAUAAUACAUUUCAAACAUUAUGUACUAAAAUAAUAUAAAAUAAUAAAAUUCAAAAAUAAGAAAAAUAUGAACAAAUGACCAAAAUAAGAGUUUUUUUACUAAAUUUAUAAAAAAACACACUAAAUUAAUAUAAAGGGGCGGUGCCACCUGUAGCAGUCCCUCCACUCCUGUUUGUACUAUUUUGGUACAUAAUAAAAUGUUUGUAUUAUUUUAAUAUUUUUAUUAAUUGUUUUGUAUUAUUUUUGUAAAAAAUCCUCACUAUGCAGUUUCGUCCUAGAGAAGUUGGUCAUGACUCAUAUGCGUAGAUUUCCAAAGGGGACCAAUCAUCGAUUGGCUACUUCAGUCCACUCAUGAGCUGAUAUUUAUAAUUUGAGAGGAAAAUCUAGCCAUGGUACUUCAGUCCAAUUACAAAUUUUCAAUUUCAACCUUCAACAUAUUUUUACAUCUUAUCGAUGAAGCAGUCAAACACGGAAGAUGGUCUCAGUUUAUUUUGCCAUUUUUCUAGUCAAAAGGUGAAUAAAAAGAAAUCUCAGAUAUAGUUAUGGGAUCGUGAUGGUGUGAUUAGAGGUAUUCAAAUUUUGAUUAAAAUUAAAUUUAUUAAUUAAACUGAUGUAAUUCGAUUAAUCUAUCGGUUAAUUGAUCUAGUUCGGUUGGAGUUCAAUUAAAAGUUUUUUGAAAAUUCAUUUAACUGUUAAUUCGGUUCGAAAUCAGGUAAUUAACUGGUAAUUAAUCGAAUUAACCGAAAUUAAUAAAUAAUAUUAUGUAUUAUAUGUAUUAGGCUAUUACUAAUUCGGUUAAUUCGAUCAAAUAAACAUUAUCAAUUUUUUAUAUCUUUUAUACUUAUUUUAAUAAAAAAAAACAAAACAUAUAAAUUUCGGUUAAAACUAAAAUAUUUCGGUUCGAUUAAUUUUUUUAGAAAAUAAUUUAGUUCGAUUAAUGGUUAAAGAAUUAAAAUUUUUAGUUAAUUCGAUUAAUACUAAUUUAGUUCGAUUAACCAUUUGAACACCCUUAAAUAUAAUUAUACUCGAUUUUCAGUCACUCACAUUUCUCGAAAAAUUUAAUUUGGUAUCAUUCAAGGUUAUACUGUAUUGCUUUUGUGAAACUUAAUGUAAGCUUUUACAUUGAAUUGGAUCUCACCAGAUCCCAUCUCAUUAAAUAGAUGUCAUCUCAUAUUUCGGUAAAAAAAAAUACAUAUAAAAAUAUAAAUAAAUGAAUAUUCAUUUUUCAAAUUUUAUUUAUUAAUUUUUUUUAAAAUCUACAAAGAAUAUUUCAAACUUUUCCCUUUUUAUUUUAUAAAUAAUAAUUUAUUUAUUAUACAUUUAGUCUUGUUCCUUAGCUCUCACUAAUUUUGUUGAGCACUGGGCACUACCUUCGCCCACAACCACCGAUACUAAUAACUCUUAUUUCGAAUUAGAGGUUAUCAUGGGUUGGGUUGAAUUUGGGCCGAGUCUCAAUAGAAUUUUAAGCCUAUUUUCUAGGCUCGAGUCCAAUCUGAAAAAUGGGCUUAAAAUUUUGCCUAAGCUUAACCUAGAUAAAAAUACCAAAACUUGAGUCUGACCCGGCCCACUUGUACUAAAUUUUUUAUAUUAUUAUUUUUAUAUAAAAGCGAAUUUAAAAAUAUAAUAUAUCAAAUAAACUAAAAACAUUAAAAUAAAUGUUUUCCGAUAAAUUGAAAAUAAAUUUAAAAAUUAUUUAUACUUAAAUAACACUAAGAUAGGUGUAACUUAGCAAACAAAUACCUCUAAAGUGGUGGCAAAAUUAACAAUAAAACAAGAGUUAUACAAUAUUCAAAAAUAACAACAAAAUAGUAACAAUGUAAUAGCGAAACGACACCAAAAUAGUGACAAAACAUCAACAAAAAUAGUGAAAAUAAUAGCAAAAAGCAACAAUUUUUUUUUUGGCAAAUUUGCGUCGGACAGGGCCCGAUACAAAAAAAGCUUACCCAAAGCCUGCCUUGUUCAGAUAACGGUCUUCGUUUUUUUACCCAAACCCAUUUUUCAAGCCUAUAUUUUUACUCAAAUCCUCUCACUUUGUUAAAGUGAGUAUUCUAUCAUCGAUUUCCACAUCUUUCGCCAUUGUGCCAGGAAUCAAUUGUGGAGGGGUCUCCAAGACUUCAUUAUCAAGUCUUGGUCAACUCGUCAAACCUAUGGAAGCUAAUAAAUGUGGGAUUUUCCUUUUGAGAAAAUAUAAGUGGUUUACUUUUGGUCACAUUAUCAGUUUGUCUUUCUUCUCAUGCUCAACUUUUGUCAAUAUUCUGGAACCACUUGUGUUUGUUUAAGGUUAAAUUUUGCUCUUAGUCCCUGUACUUUGUGAAAGUUAUGAAUUUAGUUUUUGUAUUUAAAUUUGAUCAAUUUUAGUCACUAUACUUUUCAAAUUUUAGAAUUUUAGUCCUAACCCAAAUACUAUUAGUUAAAUUCAUUUUAUUAAACUAAAUUACUAGUUCUAUACUUUGCAUGCUAUUGCAGAUUUUAUCUAUAUUAUCCAAUCAGAUCAUUUCAACUUAAUUUCUAUAUUGUUCGAAUUUUGAAUGAUUGUCAUUAAUCCGUUACUUGGAUUCGUAGUGAGUAUUAUAUGGAAAUACCAAGCUAACAUGGAAUUACACAUAUGAUAAUAUGUUCGGCACAUCAGAUUUUGAAAAUAGAAAAUUUUAACUUAAUGAAUUAACAAUAAUUGUUUGGUGAGGAUUGAAGUCUUAAAAUUUGAAAGGUAUAGGAACUAAAAUUGAUCAAAUUAAAGUAUAGAGACUAAAUACACAACUUUCACAAAGUAAAGGGACUAACAUCACAAUUUAAUCUCUGUUUAACGCACCCCUGAAAGAAACAUUCUUCUGAAAAGUCCUUGCAUACAAGGGAGCUUAAAAAGUGGGAACACAUCCAUCUUGUACUCCUUUGCUUGUGCCUCUAAUGGUGAAAGUUCAUAUAAUCCGGCAAUGAGUCGUUUUAUUAUUACAAUCAGUAGCAGUAAGGACCAAAUCGUUGGGGGUUCAUUAAUAUUACAAGCUUGAUUUAUUGGAGAUGAUAGUGCACAAGAAAUCAUCAAUUUCAGGAAAUAAAAAAUAAAGAGGAAACAGUGAAGCAAAUAUAAUAUCUAAAAUACAUGACACAACUAAAUAGAACUGAAAAAUAAAGUUGGGUAGGGAGGUACGGGGAUCUCAACUGUCCCUUCCAACAUCAACAGUACCUUCUUCAUGGAAGGGCGCAGUGUUGGUUCAUCCAGGAUGCACCACAGUCCUACAAUCACCAUCCUUUCAAGUUGUUUUAUAUCCACCUCCUCAUCUUCCCCUACUAUCUUCCCUACCUCACCGGCUUGGUAACAAUCGUAGACCCAUUCUUCAAGGAUAGCUUCUUUUUCCUUGAGGCUCCAAUUUACACUCCGUCGACAACAUAUGAUCUCCAAUAAUACGAUCCCGAAGCUGUAAACAUCUGCUUUCACUGUCACCGGUAGUUUCCUGUGCCACUCUGGUGCAACGUACCCCCUUGUUCCUCUGAUCCCAGUGAAGGUCUUGGUUUGGUCUGGCUUUAGCAACUUGGCCAAUCCGAAAUCGGAUAUUUUCGCUUGACCGUUUUCGUCCAUUAGUAUGUUCUGAGACUUGAUGUCACAAUGGAUUAUUUGAGUCUCGCAUUCUUCAUGAAGAUAGAGGAGACCUCGAGCUACGUCGCGAGCGAUUUCCACCCUAUCGAUCCAACAAGGUCGUCUUUCGGGUGUAAAGAGUACAUCGGAAAGUGAUCCAUUGAUCAUGUACUCGUAUAUCAAGAGCCUAUUGGCUCCAUCAUGGCAGUAUCCUAGUAGACGAACUAAGUUUCGAUGAUGAGUUCUCCCAAUGAUUUGCAUCUCGUUUUGGAACUCUCGUUCGCCUUGCUCUGAUAUGUUGUCCAAUCUCUUCACUGCCACAAAUUUUGUUAAACCAUUCAACAUUACCGUCCCUUUGAAAACGGUCCCAAAUGCUCCUUUCCCGAUUUCUUCCUGGAAAUUAUCAGUCAUCGCCACGAUUCCUGCAAAACUAAACGAAAUAGGAGCAACUUUCUCGCACAAUCUUAUGUUGCUGUCUGUAGAAAACCUUUUGUAUCUUAAAACACGACUCCUAAGGAUCAAAGCCCCAGAAAUUACCAACACCAUGAUUGCAAAACCAAUCAGUGAAAGCCCAAUGAUUAAAACUUUCCCAUUCCCAUCUUUAGGUUCAUCAGCAUGUUUUCUUGGUUCAUUAAUGGAUGAAUAUAUACCUACCUUGAUCAAAGCGAUGUUUGAAUUGCUAAGAUCCCUUCUCCCAUAUCUCAAAGGAAGCCUUUGCUUCGUGCAGUUUCCAUCAUUAAACAUGGCAGCCUC
RNAcentral lists this long non-coding RNA (6650 nucleotides) under Gossypium barbadense (sea-island cotton). Its description in RNAcentral is "long non-coding RNA (GBAR_LNC015289)". Lineage: Eukaryota; Viridiplantae; Streptophyta; Magnoliopsida; Malvales; Malvaceae. The record is from RNAcentral.